This 253-nucleotide ribosomal RNA is filed under the name uncultured bacterium. RNAcentral's name for it is "partial 16S ribosomal RNA". It matches the Rfam family "Bacterial small subunit ribosomal RNA", at positions 524 to 776 of the family's 1533-position model. The record is from RNAcentral. RNAcentral also lists the same sequence under 1 other name.
UACAGAGGGGGCAAGCGUUGUUCGGAAUUACUGGGCGUAAAGGGCGCGUAGGCGGCCUGUUAAGUCGAACGUGAAAUCCCCGGGCUCAACCCGGGAACUGCGUCCGAUACUGGCAGGCUUGAAUCCGGGAGAGGGAUGCGGAAUUCCAGGUGUAGCGGUGAAAUGCGUAGAUAUCAGGAAGAACACCCGUGGCGAAGGCGGCUCUCUGGGACGGUACUGACGCUGAGACGCGAAAGCGUGGGGAGCGAACAGG